CUGACAGCAUCAAGGUAAGACAGGAGAUUUUGUUCGUUGCCAGGUAUGACUUCUCAGGGAGCCUUUUGCUUCCAUUUGACAAAAUGUAAUAGUUCUGUUCAAAUGAAAUAACCUUUUUUGUUGUUGUUGUUGAAAUUCAAAACAUUGCUUUAUACACAUCUCAAAAACUUAUUAAUUGCUGUUGUUACCUUGACACAGCCUGCAGGGAGAACUCACAGCACGGAGAGAUCAAUGUGGAUGUGAGACUGUUGUGAAAGUUCAGAACCAAGAGGAAAUGGCCAACCCAUCUCCUGGAGAGAGCCUGAGGAUCUGGGACAGCCUGAGCUGCCAGCCCUCUGCCACUCUGAGCACUGGCAGCUUUGAGCAGGACUUGGGUGAGGGAGAUUUUGGCAGCACAGAGCUGGAGGACAAACACAGGAGUCACCUGAACAUUUUGAGGCAAACCUCCUUACUACUGGCUCACAAACUGAAGCUCCAGCAGCAGCAGCAGCAACAUCGGCUUCUGGUGCUGAGGGAGAAGGCAAAGCAAGAGGUUGAGGAAAGCCACAGGUUUCUGAGGGACCUGCUGCAGCUCUGCUCAGAGGUAAGUUCUGAUUUCAGAUCCUGGGUUAACACCUCUAGGCCCCAACUCAUGUAAGAGCAGUUCCAACACACAGCAAUUUGUGAGCUGCUGUAGCACCUUACCCUCACAUACCCACAGAGUUUUCUCCCACCCCAUUAAUUAAUCAACUCUUUAGGAAUUGUUGGUGUAGAUAAAGCAUUAUCUACAACCAGGGGCUUUCUAAAGAUGAUGAGGAAAAAUGGUUUAAAUGUUUUGCUUUUCAAAUAGAUCAUUGAGGCGUGUGACAAUUUCUGUGUGUGCAGGACAGCAGGAAUUCCAAAGGCAGUGAUCCUCCUGUGACAAGACCUUACCACGCAGAGCAGGCACAGAGAGGACACUGGCUGGAAGGUCAUCUUGCUGCUGGCAGCUACAGGAGGUAGGCUACAGCGAGGCACUUCAAGGAUUUGGCCUGUAGUUUGAUUAUAUUAAUAUUUUGGGGCACUAAAGUAAUUGCUAUAUAGUGUUUUUCACUCUGAUUUAUGCCCGAACUACAGGAUUAACACCUUUUCACCGUUGUGGGAGAUCUUGUACUUUUGAAAAAGUAUAAACCCCUCUGAAACUUGUGUGAAAAGUAUAAUUUUCUUCAUUUUGCUUUGCUAUCAUACCCUUGAUAUAAAUUGGAACAUUGUAUGUGCAUUUUUUAAGUUCAUUUAAAGUGGCAUAAAGAUUUGAGAAUUGCUUCCAGGGUCUUAUGGAUGCAAUUACCAGAAAGGCACCUUUGCACAGGUAAAACUUUCAGUAUUACAUAAAAAUGAGUAGCAUUCUGCUUUGAAGAGAUUCAAUCUCCAUGGAGGACUUGGCUGUGAAAGCAAGGAAUUGAAAUAAUAUCUCUGACUGCAAUAAGAAAAUAUUUCCUUUUUCUUACCUUCAGUAAUCAAGAGAUGGGUUCACAGAGACACUCUACAUUGAAGAUAGACAGAGAUCCCAGUCUAGUAGAUCCUAAAAUAUUGGAAGAAAGAAAACCUUUAGGAGAAGGAGGCUCAUGUUGCUCAGUGCUUCAAGGAGGUGAACAUAAUGUUAAAGGAUUUAGUGGUAUUGGGAAAAAUGCCCCAUUCAACCUGGUCUGGAACACAAUUUUCUAACUAAUUUUUGAAAAUUUGGACCCAAAUAUUUGUCUAUUAUGCAUAUUUAAACUAUGGCCAUCUUCCUUUGCACUCCUGGCCCUGCUAAAACAAACAUGUUGGGAGCUGAGAGUUAUUUACCCUAUUGAUGGGCCCCUUUAAAAUUUUUACCUGUUUGCCAUGAUUUCACUUGAAAGGGUUGAUGUCCAUGCCUUGCUCCUGGAAGUGAACAGCUGAGGAAUGACUUCUCCAGCUCCUGCUGAGGGCGGUGCAUGGGCUUGGCUGACAAAUAUUUGCCAAAGGCACCUUGAGUUCAGAUAUGGAUGUUAACUUGUACUGGGGGAGUUGGUUUUUUUGGGUCUUUUUCUUUCAGAUAUUUUAGUUUUGGUGACAUUAACUCUUUGCUUGGGGAUGUCUGCCAGCAGAUCCCAGGCAGUCACAGCACAUCCAUCACACCUCGAAUUCACCUUGGGUGAAUCCAACCGAUGGGGAGAGCAGUGACCAGGCCCGUUCUGACAGCCAGGUAACACCAGCUCUGGAAACAGUCUGAGGGGUGCUUCUUUCUCUGCGAUGGUUGGUUUGUUUGGUUUUAGUCCCUCUCUCGAACUGUUCACCUGAUGAUGCCGGUUCUCUGCUCUGUCCCCAGCACAGUGCAGCCGUUCCACGCUUCGGAGGCUCCAGCACCUUCCAUGGUUGCAGCCUGGCCGUGGUGGAGCAGGGCCUGAGGGCAGAGGAGCUGCGGGCUCGGUGCCAGGCAGCGCUCCUGCAGCUCCGGAGAAAGGCUCUGCGGGAGAGGGCCAGGGCCGAGCUGGCCUGGCUGGGCCACCGCAGACGGUGAGGGCCACGGGGCACCACCAGGGCAGGCGUGCUGGGCCAGGACUGCUUUUCUUCCUUUCGGGGGAGCACCAUAAAUGUAAAAUCUUCUUGCAAGUAAAGCAUGAGGAGAGGAAAGGAGCCUGUGUGGUUUUAGUGUCUCCAGAGUGGAGUUCUAUUGCAGCCUCCUCUGUGGUGGUGUGAGGCACCAACUGUGCUGAGGAGCCCUCAGGGAUGGACGGAGAGGCUUGUCCCUCAGCACGGAUGAGGAGCCCUUUGGGACAGUGAGGGUUGUCCCUCAGCACUGACCAGGCUGAGGAGCCCUCAGGGGUGUCCCUCAGCACUGAUGAGGAUGAGGAGCCUGCAGGGAUGGAUGUUCAGGGGUGUCCCUCAGCACUGAUGAGGAUAAGGAGCCCUCAGGGAUGGAUGGUGAGGGGUGUCCCUCAGCAUGGAUGAGGAGCCCUCAGGGACAGUGAGGGGUGUCCCUCAGCACUGAUGAUGAGGAGCUCUCAGGGACAAUGGGAUGUCCCUCAGCACUGACCAGGCUGAGGAGCCCUCAGAGGUGUCCCUCAGCACUGAUGAGGAUGUGGAGCCCUCAGGGGAUGGAUGUUCAGGGGUGUCCCUCAGCACUGAUGAGGAUGUGGAGCCCUCAGGGAUGGAUGGUGAGGGGUGUCCCUUAGCACUGAUGAGGAUGAGGAGCUCUCAGGGACAGUGAGGGGUGUCCCUCAGCACUGAUGAGGAUGAGGAGCUCUCAGGGGUGUCCCUCAGCACUGAUGAGGAUGAGCAGCCCUCAGGGACAGUGAGGGCUGUCCCUCAGCACGGAUGAGGAUGUGGAGCCCUCACGGAUGGAUGGUGAGGGGAGUCCCUCAGCUCUGACCACACUGAGACACUAUGAGGACCCUCCCAGUGCUCAGGAGAUUCCAGUUGCUUCAGGAGAGGUCCAGGUGCCACUACCCCAGGGUGUUGAGAUGUCUGAGUGCAUCAGAGCUUUCUGCAGAGCAUUCCAUACCUACAGCUGCUUUGAGAGGAGCUUUGCUCCGCUCCCAUCCAUAAAUUCAAGGCUUUUAAUGAUCUGACUCUGAUUCUCAUCCUUGUGAUUUCCAGUGUUCUGGAAAACCUGCAGG
This 3599-nucleotide long non-coding RNA is filed under the name Taeniopygia guttata (zebra finch). RNAcentral's name for it is "lncRNA (ENSTGUG00000029455.1)". The record is from RNAcentral. Lineage: Eukaryota; Metazoa; Chordata; Aves; Passeriformes; Estrildidae.